This 253-nucleotide ribosomal RNA is filed under the name uncultured bacterium. Its description in RNAcentral is "partial 16S ribosomal RNA". It matches the Rfam family "Bacterial small subunit ribosomal RNA", at positions 524 to 776 of the family's 1533-position model. The record is from RNAcentral.
UACGGAGGGAGCUAGCGUUGUUCGGAAUUACUGGGCGUAAAGCGCACGUAGGCGGCUUUGUAAGUCAGAGGUGAAAGCCUGGAGCUCAACUCCAGAACUGCCUUUGAGACUGCAUCGCUUGAAUCCAGGAGAGGUGAGUGGAAUUCCGAGUGUAGAGGUGAAAUUCGUAGAUAUUCGGAAGAACACCAGUGGCGAAGGCGGCUCACUGGACUGGUAUUGACGCUGAGGUGCGAAAGCGUGGGGAGUAAACAGG